ACGAACGCUGGCGGCGUGCUUAACACAUGCAAGUCGAACGGAAAGACCCUGCUUUUGUGGGGUGCUCGAGUGGCGAACGGGUGAGUAACACGUGAGUAACCUGCCCUUGACUUUGGGAUAACUUCAGGAAACUGGGGCUAUACCGGAUAGGAGCUCCUGCUGCAUGGUGGGGGUUGGAAAGUUUCGGCGGUUGGGGAUGGACUCGCGGCUUAUCAGCUUGUUGGUGGGGUAGUGGCUUACCAAGGCUUUGACGGGUAGCCGGCCUGAGAGGGUGACCGGCCACAUUGGGACUGAGAUACGGCCCAGACUCCUACGGGAGGCAGCAGUGGGGAAUAUUGCACAAUGGGCGGAAGCCUGAUGCAGCAACGCCGCGUGCGGGAUGACGGCCUUCGGGUUGUAAACCGCUUUCGCCUGUGACGAAGCGUGAGUGACGGUAAUGGGUAAAGAAGCACCGGCUAACUACGUG
This 466-nucleotide ribosomal RNA is filed under the name uncultured bacterium. RNAcentral describes it as "partial 16S ribosomal RNA". It matches the Rfam family "Bacterial small subunit ribosomal RNA", at positions 29 to 507 of the family's 1533-position model. The record is from RNAcentral.